AUAGCGUAUAUUUAAGUUGUUGCAGUUAAAAAGCUCGUAAUUGGACCUUGGGCCAGGUCGGCCGGUCCGCCUCACGGCGAGCACCGACCUACUCGACCCUUCUGCCGGCGAUGCGCUCCUGGCCUUAAUUGGCCGGGUCGUGCCUCCGGCGCCGUUACUUUCAAGAAAUUAGAGUGCUCAAAGCAAGCCAUCGCUCUGGAUACAUUAGCAUGGGAUAACAUCAAAGGAUUCCAGUCCUAUUGUGUUGGCCUUCGGGAUCGGAGUAAUGAUUAAUAGGGACAGUCGGGGGCAUUCGUAUUUCAAAGUUAGAGGUGAAAUUCUUGGAUUUAUGAAAGACGAACAACUG
RNAcentral lists this ribosomal RNA (346 nucleotides) under uncultured eukaryote. Its description in RNAcentral is "SSU rRNA". It matches the Rfam family "Eukaryotic small subunit ribosomal RNA", at positions 594 to 945 of the family's 1831-position model. The record is from RNAcentral.